Molecule: ribosomal RNA, 466 nt
Filed under: uncultured bacterium
Lineage: Bacteria
Description: bacterial SSU rRNA
Rfam family: Bacterial small subunit ribosomal RNA
Source: RNAcentral
AAUCAACGCUGGCGGCGUGCCUAACACAUGCAAGUCGCACGAGAAAGGGGAGCAAUCCCUGAGUAAAGUGGCGCACGGGUGAGUAACACGUGAAUCAUCUACCUCCGAGUGGGGAAUAACUGAGAGAAAUCUUAGCUAAUACCGCAUAACACUUACGAGUCAAAGCAGCAAUGCGCUUGGAGAGGAGUUCGCGGCCGAUUAGUUAGUUGGCGGGGUAAUGGCCCACCAAGACGAUGAUCGGUAUCCGGCCUGAGAGGGCGCACGGACACACUGGAACUGAAACACGGUCCAGACUCCUACGGGAGGCAGCAGUGGGGAAUUUUGCGCAAUGGGGGAAACCCGUGACGCAGCAACGCCGCGUGGAGGAUGAAGUAUCUUGGUACGUAGACUCCUUUCGAUUGGGAAGAUAAUGACGGUACCAAUAGAAGAAGCCCCCGGCUAACUUCGUGCCAGCAGCCGCCGUAAC